This 469-nucleotide ribosomal RNA is filed under the name uncultured bacterium. Its description in RNAcentral is "partial 16S ribosomal RNA". It matches the Rfam family "Bacterial small subunit ribosomal RNA", at positions 35 to 523 of the family's 1533-position model. The record is from RNAcentral.
GCUGGCGGCGUGCUUCAUACAUACAAGUCGAACGAGGAGCAGGAGCUUGCUCCUGUGGGAAGUGGCGGACGGGUGAGUAACACGUAGGAAAUCUGCCUUUGGGUGGGGGACAACAGUUGGAAACGACUGCUAAUACCCCAUAUGAGCUUGGUUGCAAUACCAAUCUUGAAAACUCCGGUGCCUAAAGAUGAGCCUGCGUCUGAUUAGCUUGUUGGCGGGGUAAUGGCCCACCAAGGCGACGAUCAGUAGCUGGUUUGAGAGGAUGAUCAGCCACAAUGGGACUGAGACACGGCCCAUACUCCUACGGGAGGCAGCAGUAGGGAAUUUUGCGCAAUGGGGGAAACCCUGACGCAGCAACGCCGCGUGAAUGACGAAGCCCUUCGGGGUGUAAAGUUCUGUCAGUAGGGAAGAAUUUUGACUGUACCUACAAAGGAAGCACCGGCUAACUCCGUGCCAGCCGCCGCCGUAA